GACGAACGCUGGCGGCGUGCUUAACACAUGCAAGUCGAACGGAAAGGCCCUGCUUUUGUGGGGUGCUCGAGUGGCGAACGGGUGAGUAACACGUGAGUAACCUGCCCUUGACUUUGGGAUAACUUCAGGAAACUGGGGCUAAUACCGGAUAGGAGCUCCUGCUGCAUGGUGGGGGUUGGAGAGUUUCGGCGGUUGGGGAUGGACUCGCGGCUUAUCAGCUUGUUGGUGGGGUAGUGGCUUACCAAGGCUUUGACGGGUAGCCGGCCUGAGAGGGUGACCGGCCACAUUGGGACUGAGAUACGGCCCAGACUCCUACGGGAGGCAGCAGUGGAGAAUAUUGCACAAUGGGCGGAAGCCUGAUGCAGCAACGCCGCGUGCGGGAUGACGGCCUUCGGGUUGUAAACCGCUUUCGCCUGUGACGAAGCGUGAGUGACGGUAAUGGGUAAAGAAGCACCGGCUAACUACGUGCCAGCAGCCGCGGUGAUACGUAGGGUGCGAGCGUUGUCCGGAUUUAUUGGGCGUAAAGGGCUCGUAGGUGGUUGAUCGCGUCGGAAGUGUAAUCUUGGGGCUUAACCCUGAGCGUGCUUUCGAUACGGGUUGACUUGAGGAAGGUAGGGGAGAAUGGAAUUCCUGGUGGAGCGGUGGAAUGCGCAGAUAUCAGGAGGAACACCAGUGGCGAAGGCGGUUCUCUGGGCCUUUCCUGACGCUGAGGAGCGAAAGCGUGGGGAGCGAACAGGCUUAGAUACCCUGGUAGUCCACGCUGUAAACGGUGGGUACUAGGUGUGGGGUCCAUUCCACGGGUUCCGUGCCGUAGCUAACGCUUUAAGUACCCCGCCUGGGGAGUACGGCCGCAAGGCUAAAACUCAAAGGAAUUGACGGGGCCCCGCACAAGCGGCGGAGCAUGCGGAUUAAUUCGAUGCAACGCGUAGAACCUUACCUGGGUUUGACAUGGAUCGGGAGUGCUCAGAGAUGGGUGUGCCUCUUUUGGGGUCGGUUCACAGGUGGUGCAUGGCUGUCGUCAGCUCGUGUCGUGAGAUGUUGGGUUAAGUCCCGCAACGAGCGCAACCCUUGUUCACUGUUGCCAGCACGUUAUGGUGGGGACUCAGUGGAGACCGCCGGGGUCAACUCGGAGGAAGGUGGGGAUGACGUCAAGUCAUCAUGCCCCUUAUGUCCAGGGCUUCACGCAUGCUACAAUGGCUGGUACAGAGGGUGGCGAGCCUGUGAGGGUGAGCGAAUCUCGGAAAGCCGGUCUCAGUUCGGAUUGGGGUCUGCAACUCGACCUCAUGAAGUCGGAGUCGCUAGUAAUCGCAGAUCAGCAACGCUGCGGUGAAUACAAUCGCGGGGCU
RNAcentral lists this ribosomal RNA (1346 nucleotides) under uncultured bacterium. RNAcentral describes it as "partial 16S ribosomal RNA". It matches the Rfam family "Bacterial small subunit ribosomal RNA", at positions 28 to 1381 of the family's 1533-position model. The record is from RNAcentral.